RNAcentral lists this ribosomal RNA (465 nucleotides) under uncultured Klebsiella sp. RNAcentral describes it as "bacterial SSU rRNA". It matches the Rfam family "Bacterial small subunit ribosomal RNA", at positions 338 to 795 of the family's 1533-position model. The record is from RNAcentral. Lineage: Bacteria; Pseudomonadati; Pseudomonadota; Gammaproteobacteria; Enterobacterales; Enterobacteriaceae.
CCUACGGGAGGCAGCAGUGGGGAAUAUUGCACAAUGGGCGCAAGCCUGAUGCAGCCAUGCCGCGUGUGUGAAGAAGGCCUUCGGGUUGUAAAGCACUUUCAGCGGGGAGGAAGGCGUUAAGGUUAAUAACCUUGUCGAUUGACGUUACCCGCAGAAGAAGCACCGGCUAACUCCGUGCCAGCAGCCGCGGUAAUACGGAGGGUGCAAGCGUUAAUCGGAAUUACUGGGCGUAAAGCGCACGCAGGCGGUCUGUCAAGUCGGAUGUGAAAUCCCCGGGCUCAACCUGGGAACUGCAUUCGAAACUGGCAGGCUAGAGUCUUGUAGAGGGGGGUAGAAUCCCAGGUGUAGCGGUGAAAUGCGUAGAGAUCUGGAGGAAUACCGGUGGCGAAGGCGGCCCCCUGGACAAAGACUGACGCUCAGGUGCGAAAGCGUGGGGAGCAAACAGGAUUAGAUACCCCAGUAGUC